AGACCCGAAACCCGGUGAUCUAGCCAUGGGCAGGUUGAAGGUUGGGUAACACUAACUGGAGGACCGAACCGACUAAUGUUGAAAAAUUAGCGGAUGACCUGUGGCUGGGGGUGAAAGGCCAAUCAAACCGGGAGAUAGCUGGUUCUCCCCGAAAGCUAUUUAGGUAGCGCCUCGUGAAUUCAUCUCCGGGGGUAGAGCACUGUUUCGGCUAGGGGGCCAUCCCGGCUUACCAACCCGAUGCAAACUGCGAAUACCGGAGAAUGUUAUCACGGGAGACACACGGCGGGUGCUAACGUCCGUCGUGAAGAGGGAAACAACCCAGACCGCCAGCUAAGGUCCCAAAGUCAUGGUUAAGUGGGAAACGAUGUGGGAAGGCCCAGACAGCCAGGAUGUUGGCUUAGAAGCAGCCAUCAUUUAAAGAAAGCGUAAUAGCUCACUGGUCGAGUCGGCCUGCGCGGAAGAUGUAACGGGGCUAAACCAUGCACCGAAGCUGCGGCAGCGACACUGUGUGUUGUUGGGUAGGGGAGCGUUCUGUAAGCCUGUGAAGGUGUGUCGUGAGGCAUGCUGGAGGUAUCAGAAGUGCGAAUGCUGACAUAAGUAACGAUAAAGCGGGUGAAAAGCCCGCUCGCCGGAAGACCAAGGGUUCCUGUCCAACGUUAAUCGGGGCAGGGUGAGUCGACCCCUAAGGCGAGGCCGAAAGGCGUAGUCGAUGGGAAACGGGUUAAUAUUCCCGUACUUGGUGUUACUGCGAAGGGGGGACGGAGAAGGCUAUGUUGGCCGGGCGACGGUUGUCCCGGUUUAAGCGUGUAGGUGUGUGUUCCAGGUAAAUCCGGUUCACUUUAACACUGAGGCGUGACGACGAGGCACUACGGUGCUGAAGCAACAAAUGCCCUGCUUCCAGGAAAAGCCUCUAAGCAUCAGGUAACAUCAAAUCGUACCCCAAACCGACACAGGUGGUCAGGUAGAGAAUACCAAGGCGCUUGAGAGAACUCGGGUGAAGGAACUAGGCAAAAUGGUGCCGUAACUUCGGGAGAAGGCACGCUGACACGUAGGUGAAGUGAUUUACUCAUGGAGCUGAAGUCAGUCGAAGAUACCAGCUGGCUGCAACUGUUUAUUAAAAACACAGCACUGUGCAAACACGAAAGUGGACGUAUACGGUGUGACGCCUGCCCGGUGCCGGAAGGUUAAUUGAUGGGGUCAGCGCAAGCGAAGCUCCUGAUCGAAGCCCCGGUAAACGGCGGCCGUAACUAUAACGGUCCUAAGGUAGCGAAAUUCCUUGUCGGGUAAGUUCCGACCUGCACGAAUGGCGUAAUGAUGGCCAGGCUGUCUCCACCCGAGACUCAGUGAAAUUGAACUCGCUGUGAAGAUGCAGUGUACCCGCGGCAAGACGGAAAGACCCCGUGAACCUUUACUAUAGCUUGACACUGAACAUUGAGCCUUGAUGUGUAGGAUAGGUGGGAGGCUUUGAAGUGUGGACGCCAGUCUGCAUGGAGCCGACCUUGAAAUACCACCCUUUAAUGUUUGAUGUUCUAACGUGGACCCGUUACCCGGGUUGCGGACAGUGUCUGGUGGGUAGUUUGACUGGGGCGGUCUCCUCCUAAAGAGUAACGGAGGAGCACGAAGGUUGGCUAAUCCUGGUCGGACAUCAGGAGGUUAGUGCAAUGGCAUAAGCCAGCUUGACUGCGAGCGUGACGGCGCGAGCAGGUGCGAAAGCAGGUCAUAGUGAUCCGGUGGUUCUGAAUGGAAGGGCCAUCGCUCAACGGAUAAAAGGUACUCCGGGGAUAACAGGCUGAUACCGCCCAAGAGUUCAUAUCGACGGCGGUGUUUGGCACCUCGAUGUCGGCUCAUCACAUCCUGGGGCUGAAGUAGGUCCCAAGGGUAUGGCUGUUCGCCAUUUAAAGUGGUACGCGAGCUGGGUUUAGAACGUCGUGAGACAGUUCGGUCCCUAUCUGCCGUGGGCGCUGGAGAACUGAGGGGGGCUGCUCCUAGUACGAGAGGACCGGAGUGGACGCAUCACUGGUGUUCGGGUUGUCAUGCCAAUGGCACUGCCCGGUAGCUAAAUGCGGAAGAGAUAAGUGCUGAAAGCAUCUAAGCACGAAACUUGCCCCGAGAUGAGUUCUCCCUGAGACUUAGAGUCUCCUGAAGGAACGUUGAAGACGACGACGUUGAUAGGCCGGGUGUGUAAGCGCAGCGAUGCGUUGAGCUAACCGGUACUAAUGAACCGUGAGGCUUAACCUUACAAC
RNAcentral lists this ribosomal RNA (2243 nucleotides) under Salmonella enterica subsp. enterica serovar Enteritidis. RNAcentral describes it as "partial 23S ribosomal RNA". It matches the Rfam family "Bacterial large subunit ribosomal RNA", at positions 711 to 2925 of the family's 2925-position model. The record is from RNAcentral. Lineage: Bacteria; Pseudomonadati; Pseudomonadota; Gammaproteobacteria; Enterobacterales; Enterobacteriaceae.